AUUGAACGCUAGCGGGGUGCUUUACACAUGCAAGUCGAACGGCAGCGCGGACUUCGGUCUGGCGGCGAGUGGCGAACGGGUGAGUAAUGUAUCGGAACGUGCCCAGUAGCGGGGGAUAACUACGCGAAAGCGUAGCUAAUACCGCAUACGCCCUACGGGGGAAAGCAGGGGAUCGUAAGACCUUGCACUAUUGGAGCGGCCGAUAUCGGAUUAGCUAGUUGGUGAGGUAACGGCUCACCAAGGCGACGAUCCGUAGCUGGUUUGAGAGGACGACCAGCCACACUGGGACUGAGACACGGCCCAGACUCCUACGGGAGGCAGCAGUGGGGAAUUUUGGACAAUGGGGGCAACCCUGAUCCAGCCAUCCCGCGUGUGCGAUGAAGGCCUUCGGGUUGUAAAGCACUUUUGGCAGGAAAGAAACGUCGCGGGCUAAUACCCCGUGGAACUGACGGUACCUGCAGAAUAAGCACCGGCUAACUACGUG
RNAcentral lists this ribosomal RNA (484 nucleotides) under uncultured bacterium. RNAcentral describes it as "partial 16S ribosomal RNA". It matches the Rfam family "Bacterial small subunit ribosomal RNA", at positions 30 to 507 of the family's 1533-position model. The record is from RNAcentral.